GGGAUAUUGCACAAUGGGGGAAACCCUGAUGCAGCGACGCCGCGUGAGUGAAGAAGUCAUUCGUGAUGUAAAGCUCUAUCAGCAGGGAAGAAAAUGACGGUACCUGACUAAGAAGCCCCGGCUAACUACGUGCCAGCAGCCGCGGUAAUACGUAGGGGGCAAGCGUUAUCCGGAUUUACUGGGUGUAAAGGGAGCGUAGACGGCCAGGCAAGUCUGGAGUGAAAGCCCGGGGCUCAACCCCGGGACUGCUUUGGAAACUGUAGGGCUGGAGUGCAGGAGGGGUAAGCGGAAUUCCUAGUGUAGCGGUGAAAUGCGUAGAUAUUAGGAGGAACACCGGUGGCGAAGGCGGCUUACUGGACUGCAACUGACGUUGAGGCUCGAAGGCGUGGGGAGCAAACA
This 399-nucleotide ribosomal RNA is filed under the name uncultured bacterium. Its description in RNAcentral is "bacterial SSU rRNA". It matches the Rfam family "Bacterial small subunit ribosomal RNA", at positions 358 to 774 of the family's 1533-position model. The record is from RNAcentral.